RNAcentral lists this ribosomal RNA (401 nucleotides) under uncultured Fusibacter sp. Its description in RNAcentral is "bacterial SSU rRNA". It matches the Rfam family "Bacterial small subunit ribosomal RNA", at positions 355 to 774 of the family's 1533-position model. The record is from RNAcentral. Lineage: Bacteria; Bacillati; Bacillota; Clostridia; Eubacteriales; Fusibacteraceae.
UGGGGAAUAUUCGGCAAUGGGGGCAACCCCGACCGAGCAACGCCGCGUGAGUGAUGAAGGCCUUCGGGUUGUAAAACUCUGUUGGAUGGGAAGAUAAUGACGGUACCAUCUGAGGAAGCCCCGGCUAACUACGUGCCAGCAGCCGCGGUAAUACGUAGGGGGCAAGCGUUAUCCGGAAUCACUGGGCGUAAAGGGUGCGUAGGCGGGAGAUCAAGCAAGGGGUGAAAGGCAUUGGCUCAACCAAUGUAAGCCUUUUGAACUGAUUUUCUUGAGUGCAGGAGAGGUAAGUGGAAUUCCUAGUGUAGAGGUAAAAUUCGUAGAUAUUAGGAGGAACACCGGUGGCGAGGGCGACUUACUGGACUGUAACUGACGCUGAGGCACGAAGGCGUGGGGAGCAAACA